AUAUACUCUUUAUAACUCUCAUGCAGUAAACCCUAACCAUAAUAGAGAUGGCAGCCGCCAUCACCCUUCUUCUCCAUUAUCCGGCGCCGCCACCCCGUAACCUCCAUGUAUAUAGCUGCUGUGAAUCGAUGCAUCCCAGCCGCCGCUUCAUCGUCUCAUCAUAACCGACGUCGUGAGCCUCCAGCCGAGCAAAGCUUUACCGUCGCUAUCCUCUGUCAUCGAAGCGGUGAACCUCAGGGACCAACGAACUCCGUUACCCCAUUAUUCGGCGUAACAACAACACUCCCCUUCACCUUCUUCUGCUGCUUCACGGUCGCCGUCAGCCAUUCUAGGCGGCGGUACGGCUGACGCUGCUUCCCGGCACAUGGUUGAUGUCGUCAUGCUCCUACCGCCAAUCAUAGCGCCAUUGUUGCUACUGAGUCGUAUGCCUCAGAGGUGAAUUAAUUAGUUUGCGAGCAAGGUGGGUCCGUGAGCAAGCCUCUUCUGUUGUGUGCGUAUUUUGAUGUAUGUGCUCAUGUGUUGCGAUGGAAUAGAGCUGCUGGAGCGACUUCUGCUAUCUACGUAUUGUGAGGUAGUGGCUGCCACCAUGAGCCACCACCAUCCGCCACUAGUUUGGGAAUCUGUCAAUCAGCAGCUGGAGUUGUAUCAACGGGACUUCAGUAGUGCCAGGUGAGUUAUCCUCACUAUACUAAGGGGUCUAAUGCACCAAGGUCGGCCCAUUGGAUUUGAUAUAUUAGUAGUUACUGAUAGGUUGACUUUGAGUUAGUAAUGUAUGCCAAUUGUUAUGCUAGUUUGGUAGGUCGGUAGGACUACAUGUGAUACUAAUUGAUUACCUGUAUGUGCAUUUAUAUGUUACAUGUCGACAUGUUAUGUGGGAUGGGUUGAGGUGGUACUGCUCCGUGCGGUAGCCAACAUACCCUAGAGUAUUCCAGAUAUGAGCUGAGGGCCCGGUAGGCAUUCCAGACGCAUACUGAGGACUCGAGAGCAUUCUAGAUACGAACUGAGGGCCUAGUAGGCAUUCCAGACUCGUACUGAGGGCUCGGUAGCAAUCCAGGUGUGAGCUGAGGAACCGGUACUUCAGAGGAUCGUGGCAAGGAAAAUGCGUGAUCGUACAGCUCCUCACUUUUUAUGAAUUUGUUUAUAGGAUACUCUGAUAUGAUACAUUUUGAAAACAAGUUUGUAAUGUUUAAUGGAUUUGAAAUGUUUUUAAAAGUUUAAAUUGGCUUGAAUUUUCGGGUGUUACAAGAAGAAGGAGGACGAGAAAGACGAAGCCUACUAUCUUCGGAAGAUAGAGUAUUUGAAGAAAAAGAAUGUUGGGAACACGAAGCUUGCUUUGAUUGUGUAGGAAGGUGGUGAUGAAUUUGGUAGUGUUGAAGUAUGGUCCAUUGAUUCCGAAGAUGAUGAGGUUCGGAAGCCCACACAUGGUGGAUGUUUUUUUGCGAAGUUUGAAGCUCUGGAUUAUGAAGGAAAGUGUCUGAUGGUUCAGAGUGGGGUCUCGGAACAGAGCGGAUACACAACUGAUGGCGGAGAUCCUUCUAAUAAUUGUUUUGCUACGAGGCCUGUUUCUGAACACGUGAGUGAAUGCGAGAAGGUCAUCAGUAAGCGACAGUUUAAAGAGAACUCGUCUAAGCAAUUCUGACCUAAGUGAUCAUAUCGGAAGGAUAACAAAUAAAUGUGUAGAGAGGAGAAUAUGGAUAGAGAAGCUGGAGUUAUAGCUUAAUAGGUCAAAGGAUGAUGUUAUUUAUCUGAAGAGAGACAAUUUAGCACUUUUAAAACAAAGGAAUAUUUUCUAUUUAAUUGCGAAGCGGUUAUAUUUUAAGAUUACUUGACUGCAUCUUGAUUGUGACAUAGGUAAAAAUAUACACAAAAUGAUUUUACCCUUUCUCGAUUUGAAAGAGAAUGAAAUC
Lactuca sativa (garden lettuce) is the source of this 1907-nucleotide long non-coding RNA. RefSeq lists it as uncharacterized. The record is from RefSeq and is a predicted model, not a curated record. NCBI's taxonomy places the organism in Eukaryota, Viridiplantae, Streptophyta, Magnoliopsida, Asterales, Asteraceae.